RNAcentral lists this ribosomal RNA (587 nucleotides) under uncultured bacterium. RNAcentral describes it as "bacterial SSU rRNA". It matches the Rfam family "Bacterial small subunit ribosomal RNA", at positions 338 to 916 of the family's 1533-position model. The record is from RNAcentral.
CCUACGGGAGGCAGCAGUAGGGAAUCUUCCACAAUGGGCGAAAGCCUGAUGGAGCAACGCCGCGUGAGUGAUGAAGGCCUUCGGGUUGUAAAACUCUGUCAUUCGGGACGAACCGGAGUCUGAGGAAAUGCAGACUCUCUGACGGUACCGGAGGAGGAAGCCCCGGCUAACUACGUGCCAGCAGCCGCGGUAAUACGUAGGGGGCAAGCGUUGUCCGGAUUCACUGGGCGUAAAGCGCGCGCAGGCGGUGAUGUAAGUCUGAGGUGAAAACCCGAAGCUCAACUUCGGGACUGCCUUGGAUACUGCGUCACUUGAGGAUAGGAGAGGCAAGGGGAAUUCCACGUGUAGCGGUGAAAUGCGUAGAGAUGUGGAGGAACACCUGUGGCGAAGGCGCCUUGCUGGCCUAUUUCUGACGCUGAGGCGCGAAAGCGUGGGGAGCAAACAGGAUUAGAUACCCUGGUAGUCCACGCUGUAAACGAUGAGUGCUAGGUGUAGGUGGGCUCAUACCCAUCUGUGCCGAAGCUAACGCAUUAAGCACUCCGCCUGGGGAGUACGGUCGCAAGACUGAAACUCAAAUGAAUUGACAG